UUAGCCUCAGUCGCAGAAAGGCGAGCAAAAGGAGGGGGCAAGUAUUCAAAUAAUAGUCCUCACCUACGGAUGAACGUAGGUAAACGAGGAGUCACAAUCAGCCCCUAUCGCGGAAAGGCGAGCAAAAGGAGGGGGCAAGUAUUCAAGUAAUAGUCCUCACCUACGGAUGAACGUAGGUAGACGAGGAAUUACACUUAGCCUCAGUCGCAGAAAGGCGAGCAAAAGGAGGGGGCAAGUAUUCAAAUAAUAGUCCUCACCCACGGAUGAACGCGGGUAGACGAGGAGUCACAAUCAGCCCCUAUCGCGGAAAGGCGAGCAAAAGGAGGGGGCAAGUAUUCAAAUAAUAGUCCUCAC
Molecule: long non-coding RNA, 354 nt
Filed under: Zostera marina
Lineage: Eukaryota; Viridiplantae; Streptophyta; Magnoliopsida; Alismatales; Zosteraceae
Description: long non-coding RNA (ZMAR_LNC001438)
Source: RNAcentral